This 69-nucleotide transfer RNA is filed under the name marine eukaryotic metagenome. It matches the Rfam family "tRNA". Rfam says of the family: Transfer RNA (tRNA) molecules are approximately 80 nucleotides in length. Their secondary structure includes four short double-helical elements and three loops (D, anti-codon, and T loops). Further hydrogen bonds mediate the characteristic L-shaped molecular structure. tRNAs have two regions of fundamental functional importance: the anti-codon, which is responsible for specific mRNA codon recognition, and the 3' end, to which the tRNAs corresponding amino acid is attached (by aminoacyl-tRNA synthetases). tRNAs cope with the degeneracy of the genetic code in two manners: having more than one tRNA (with a specific anti-codon) for a particular amino acid; and 'wobble' base-pairing, i.e. permitting non-standard base-pairing at the 3rd anti-codon position. The record is from RNAcentral.
GCGACGUGGCCAAGUGGUAAGGCAGAGGUCUGCAAAACCUCCAUUCACCGGUUCGAAUCCGGUCGUCGC